GCUUGGCAGCAAGGGAGUACUUCCGACAACUGAAAACUUGAGGAAGAGGAGCAUUACAUAUGUCAGCGGGUGUUUUAUGUGUAUUAGAUCGGACAAAAAUGUGGAUAACCUCUUUAUACGUUGUCAGGUAGUGUCUUGUUUAUGGUGGGAGAUGUUUAGAUGGUUCGGGUUGCAAUGAGUGUUGCCAUGCACCGGGAAGGAGACACUGUUCAAUUGGACAUUUAGAAGACAGAUGAGAAGAUGAAAGGCGUGUGCAAUUCUAGCAGUAUGUGGGUUGUAUGGAAAGAGUGUAGGAGAAUUACAUACGUCAGGGGGUGUUUUAUGUGUAAGAGAUUCGACAAAAAUAUGGAUCACCUCUUUAUACAUUGUAAGGUAGUGUCUUGUUUAUGGUGGGAGAUCUUUAGAUGGUUCGGGUUGCAAUAAGUGAUGCCAUGAACCAGGAAGGAGACACUGUUCAAUUGAACAUUUAGAAGACAGAUGAGAAGAUGAAAGGUGUGUUCUAUUCUAGCAGUAUGUGGGUUGUAUGGAAAGAGUGAAAUAUGAUAGCUUUUGAAG
This 555-nucleotide long non-coding RNA is filed under the name Nicotiana benthamiana. RNAcentral's name for it is "long non-coding RNA (NBEN_LNC004552)". The record is from RNAcentral. Lineage: Eukaryota; Viridiplantae; Streptophyta; Magnoliopsida; Solanales; Solanaceae.